Molecule: ribosomal RNA, 922 nt
Filed under: uncultured crenarchaeote
Lineage: Archaea; Thermoproteati; Thermoproteota
Description: bacterial SSU rRNA
Rfam family: Archaeal small subunit ribosomal RNA
Source: RNAcentral
GCCCUUUUCCNGUUGAUCCUGCCGGACCCCACUGCUAUCGGGAUAGGACUAAGACAUGCUAGUWGAGCGCUUCAGCCAAAAAGAGGCGCGGCACACAGCUCAGUAACACGUGGCUAAUCUGCCCUUDGGACCGGAACACCCCCGGGAAACUGGGGCUAAUUCUCGAUAGGUGAAGAACUCUGGAAUGAGUCUUUGCCAAAAAGUUGUUAAGGUUAUGCUCUUUGACGACGCCCAAGGAUGAGGCCGCGACCGAUCAGGUUGUUGGUGAGGUAAUGGCUCACCAAGCCUUUUACCGGUGCGGGCCGUGAGAGCGGGAGCCCGGAGAUGGGCACUGAGACAAGGGCCCAGGCCCUACGGGGCGCAGCAGUCGCGAAAACUUUGCAAUAAGCGAAAGCUUGACAGGGCUAUCCCGAGUGCCAUCCGCUGAGGAAGGCUUUUACCCAGUCUAGAACGCUGGGGGAAUAAGGAGAGGGCAAGUCUGGUGUCAGCCGCCGCGGUAAUACCAGCUCUCCGAGUGGUGUGGAUGUUUAUUGGGCCUAAAGCAUCCGUAGCUGGCUAAGUUAGUCCCUUGUUAAAUCCACCGAAUUAAUCGUUGGAUUGCGGGGGAUACUGCUUGGCUAGGGGACGAGAGAGGCAGACGGUAUUUCCGGGGUAGGGGUGAAAUCCUAUAAUCCCGGGAAGACCACCAGUGGCGAAGGCGGCUUGCCAGAACGCGCUCGACGGUGAGGGAUGAAAGCUGGGGGAGCAAACCGGAUUAGAUACCCGGGUAGUCCCAGCUGUAAACGAUGCAGACUCGGUGAUGAGUUGGCUUCUUGCCAACUCAGUGCCGCAGGGAAGCCGUUAAGUUUGCCCUCUGGGCGAGUACGGUCGCAAGACUUAAACUUAAAGGAAUUUGGCGGGGAGCACACAAGGGGUGAAGCUU